Molecule: ribosomal RNA, 519 nt
Filed under: uncultured eukaryote
Lineage: Eukaryota
Description: SSU rRNA
Rfam family: Eukaryotic small subunit ribosomal RNA
Source: RNAcentral
AGGGCACCACCAGGAGUGGAGCCUGCGGCUUAAUUUGACUCAACACGGGAAAACUCACCCGGCCCGGACACUGGAAGGAUUGACAGAUUGAGAGCUCUUUCUUGAUUCAGUGGGUGGUGGUGCAUGGCCGUUCUUAGUUGGUGGAGCGAUUUGUCUGGUUAAUUCCGAUAACGAACGGGACUCUAGCCUACUAAAUAGAUCGUCGGCUUACAAACGCCGAUGAGACUUCUUAGAGGGACAGGCGGCGAUUCAGCCGCACGAAACAGAGCAAUAACAGGUCUGUGAUGCCCUUAGAUGUCCGGGGCCGCACGCGCGCUACACUGAAGUGAUCAGCGUGCAUUUUCAGCCUACUCUGCCAAGAGUGGGAAACCCAAUGAACCUUCUUCGUGAUUGGGAUAGGGGGUUGUAAUUAUUCCCCUUGAACGAGGAAUUCCCAGUAAGCGCGGGUCAUAAGCUCGCGUUGAUUACGUCCCUGCCCUUUGUACACACCGCCCGUCGCUACUACCGAUUGAAUGUUUU